This 401-nucleotide ribosomal RNA is filed under the name uncultured bacterium. RNAcentral's name for it is "bacterial SSU rRNA". It matches the Rfam family "Bacterial small subunit ribosomal RNA", at positions 30 to 417 of the family's 1533-position model. The record is from RNAcentral.
AGUGAACGCUGGCGGCAGGCCUAACACAUGCAAGUCGAGCGGCAGCGCGUCCGACCACCCUCGGGUGGUCGGAUGGCGGCGAGCGGCGGACGGGUGAGGAAUGCAUCGGAAUCUGCCUCGUUGUGGGGGAUAACGUAGGGAAACUUACGCUAAUACCGCAUACGACCUACGGGUGAAAGUGGGGGACCUUCGGGCCUCACGCGAUGAGAUGAGCCGAUGCCGGAUUAGCUAGUUGGCGGGGUAAAGGCCCACCAAGGCGACGAUCCGUAGCUGGUCUGAGAGGAUGAUCAGCCACACUGGAACUGAGACACGGUCCAGACUCCUACGGGAGGCAGCAGUGGGGAAUUUUGGACAAUGGGGGCAACCCUGAUCCAGCCAUGCCGCGUGUGUGAAGAAGGCCU